Molecule: small RNA, 77 nt
Filed under: Arabidopsis thaliana (thale cress)
Lineage: Eukaryota; Viridiplantae; Streptophyta; Magnoliopsida; Brassicales; Brassicaceae
Description: ATSL141110
Source: RNAcentral
AAAUUACGAAGGCUCUUUCUUUCAAAUGUUUAAAAUCAACUUCUUAAAUCUCACUUGAAAAGAAAUAACUAAAUUUU